This 1135-nucleotide ribosomal RNA is filed under the name Candidatus Phytoplasma fraxini. Its description in RNAcentral is "bacterial SSU rRNA". It matches the Rfam family "Bacterial small subunit ribosomal RNA", at positions 207 to 1344 of the family's 1533-position model. Lineage: Bacteria; Bacillati; Mycoplasmatota; Mollicutes; Acholeplasmatales; Acholeplasmataceae. The record is from RNAcentral.
UUUUCGGGAGGUAUGCUUAAAGAUGAGCUUGCGCCACAUUAGUUUGUUGGUGGGGUAAUGGCCUACCAAGACGAUGAUGUGUAGCUGGACUGAGAGGUCGAACAGCCACAUUGGGACUGAGACACGGCCCAAACUCCUACGGGAGGCAGCAGUAGGGAAUUUUCGGCAAUGGAGGAAACUCUGACCGAGCAACGCCGCGUGAACGAUGAAGUAUUUCGGUAUGUAAAGUUCUUUUAUUGAAGAAGAAAAAAUAGUGGAAAAACUAUCUUGACGUUAUUCAAUGAAUAAGCCCCGGCUAACUAUGUGCCAGCAGCCGCGGUAAGACAUAGGGGGCGAGCGUUAUCCGGAAUUAUUGGGCGUAAAGGGUGCGUAGGCGGUUAGGAAAGUCUAUAAUUUAAUUUCAGUGCUUAACGCUGUCUUGUUAUAGAAACUACCUUGACUAGAGUUAGAUAGAGGCAAGCGGAAUUCCAUGUGUAGCGGUAAAAUGUGUAAAUAUAUGGAGGAACACCAGAAGCGUAGGCGGCUUGCUGGGUCUUGACUGACGCUGAGGCACGAAAGCGUGGGUAGCAAACAGGAUUAGAUACCCUGGUAGUCCACGCCGUAAACGAUGAGUACUAAGUGUCGGGAUAAAACUCGGUACUGAAGUUAACACAUUAAGUACUCCGCCUGAGUAGUACGUACGCAAGUAUGAAACUUAAAGGAAUUGACGGGACUCCGCACAAGCGGUGGAUCAUGUUGUUUAAUUCGAAGAUACACGAAAAAUCUUACCAGGUCUUGACAUGCUCUGCAAAGCUAUAGAAAUAUAGUGGAGGUUAUCAGGGACACAGGUGGUGCAUGGUUGUCGUCAGUUCGUGUCGUGAGAUGUUAGGUUAAGUCCUAAAACGAGCGCAACCCUUGUCGUUAGUUACCAGCACGUAAUGGUGGGCACUUUAACGAGACUGCCAAUUAAACAUUGGAGGAAGGUGAGGAUUACGUCAAAUCAUCAUGCCCCUUAUGAUCUGGGCUACAAACGUGAUACAAUGGCUGUUACAAAGAGUAGCUGAAGCGCGAGUUUUUAGCCAAUCUCAAAAAAGCAGUCUCAGUUCGGAUUGAAGUCUGUAACUCGACUUCAUGAAGUUGGAAUCGCUAGUAAUCG